GGAGACGUGGCAGAGUGGUUGAACGCGCCGCACUCGAAAUGCGGUAUACCCGAAAGGGUAUCGGAGGUUCGAAUCCUCCCGUCUCCG
Molecule: transfer RNA, 87 nt
Filed under: Candidatus Sungbacteria bacterium RIFCSPHIGHO2_02_FULL_52_23
Lineage: Bacteria; Candidatus Sungiibacteriota
Description: tRNA-Ser
Rfam family: tRNA
About the family: Transfer RNA (tRNA) molecules are approximately 80 nucleotides in length.
Source: RNAcentral